CAAGGAAUUUUCCCCAAUGGGCGCAAGCCUGAGGGAGCAACGCCGCGUGCAGGACGACGGCCUUCGGGUUGUAAACUGCUUUUGGGAGGGACGAUGAUGACGGUACCUCCCGAAUAAGCCUCGGCUAACUACGUGCCAGCAGCCGCGGUAAUACGUAGGAGGCAAGCGUUGUCCGGACUGACUGGGCGUAAAGCGCGCGCAGGCGGUGCGGGGCGUCGGUGCUGAAAUCGGGCCGCUCAACGGCCCGCGGCGUGCCGAUACGCCCGCACUGGAGGGUGGGCGAGGGUGGUGGAAUUGCCGGUGUAGUGGUGAAAUGCGUAGAGAUCGGCAGGAACACCCGUGGCGAAAGCGGCCACCUAGCCCGCACCUGACGCUGAUGCGCGACAGCGUGGGGAGCGAACUGGAUUAGAUACCCAGGUAGUCCACGCCGUAAACGAUGCCGACUCGGUAUCCGGCUGGCUAACGCUGGCGGGGUGCCCCAGCUUACGCGGUAAGCCGGCCGCCUGGGGACUACGAGCGCAAGCUUAC
RNAcentral lists this ribosomal RNA (528 nucleotides) under uncultured bacterium. RNAcentral's name for it is "bacterial SSU rRNA". It matches the Rfam family "Bacterial small subunit ribosomal RNA", at positions 355 to 897 of the family's 1533-position model. The record is from RNAcentral.